GUGCCAGCCGCCGCGGUAAUACGGGGGUAGCGAGUGUUGUUCGGAUUUACUGGGCGUAAAGGGAGCGCAGGCGGUAAGGUAAGUCAGGAGUGAAAGGUUGGGGCUUAACCCCAAACCUGCUUUUGAUACUGUCUUGCUAGAGUAUGCGAGAGGAGGAUGGAAUUCUAGGUGUAGCGGUGGAAUGUGUAGAUAUCUAGAAGAACACCAAUUGCGAAGGCAGUUCUCUGGUGCAAUACUGACGCUCAAGCUCGAAAGCUAGGGGAGCAAACAGGAUUAGAUACCCUGGUAGUCCUAGCCCUAAACGAUGGACACUAGGUGUUGGGAGAGUCAACCCUCUCAGCGCCGAAGCUAACGCAUUAAGUGUCCCGCCUGGGGAGUACGGUCGCAAGGCUGAA
RNAcentral lists this ribosomal RNA (395 nucleotides) under uncultured bacterium. Its description in RNAcentral is "bacterial SSU rRNA". It matches the Rfam family "Bacterial small subunit ribosomal RNA", at positions 505 to 898 of the family's 1533-position model. The record is from RNAcentral.